GGACCAAGGAGUCUAGCAUGUGCGCGAGUCAUUGGGACUCUAACGAAACCUAAAGGCGUAAUGAAAGUGAAGGCUCGCCUAGCGCGGGCCGAGGGAAGAUGGGUGUCCCCAAGAGGACGCCCCGCACUCCCAGGGCGUCUCGUUCUCAUUGCGAGAAGAGGCGCACCAAGAGCGUACACGCUGGGACCCGAAAGAUGGUGAACUAUGCCUGGUCAGGACGAAGUCAGGGGAAACCCUGAUGGAGGUCCGUAGCGAUUCUGACGUGCAAAUCGAUCGUCGGAACUGGGUAUAGGGGCGAAAGACUAAUCGAACCAUCUAGUAGCUGGUUCCCUCCGAAGUUUCCCUCAGGAUAGCUGGCGCUCGCUUCUCGCGAGUCUCAUUCGGUAAAGCGAAUGAUUAGAGGCAUUGGGGUCGAAACGGCCUCAACCUAUUCUCAAACUUUAAAUGGGUGAGAUCUCCGGCUUGCUUGAACUGUGAAGCCGCGAGAUAUCGGAUCAGAGUGCCAAGUGGGCCACUUUUGGUAAGCAGAACUGGCGCUGUGGGAUGAACCAAACGCUGAGUUAAAGCGCCUAAAUCGACGCUUAUGGGAUACCAUGAAAGGCGUUGGUAACUUAAGACAGCAGGACGGUGGCCAUGGAAGUCGGA
This 645-nucleotide ribosomal RNA is filed under the name Plaesiorrhinella trivittata. Its description in RNAcentral is "LSU rRNA". It matches the Rfam family "Eukaryotic large subunit ribosomal RNA", at positions 663 to 1265 of the family's 3401-position model. Lineage: Eukaryota; Metazoa; Arthropoda; Insecta; Coleoptera; Scarabaeidae. The record is from RNAcentral.